GCGGACGGCGAGGGAGUCCAGAGCCUUGAGCCCGGUGCUCCUCCCUUGCGCAGCGGUGGCUCUGCGGCCGCUGGAGUAAACACUGCCUUUGUUCCCUAGCGCCUUGUCUUUCGUCGCCCCGUCCCCUCACGCCGCCGGGCUCCGGCCGGCCCGCCCUCGGUCCUUGAACCCCAUUUCGGCUCGUGCCGCGCGGAUGCGGCUGCCGGGCCUGGGUUUGGGUAUUGAGCGGGAGGAGGAGAAGGAGCGGCGGCGCCUGGGCGGCAUGCGAUGGGGAACUGCUGCUGGACGCAGUGCUACGGACUGCUCCGCAAGGAAGCGGGGCGGCUGCAGCGAGUAGGCGGCGGCGGAGGAUCCAAGUAUUUUAGAACAUGCUCAAGAGGUGAGCACUUAACAAUAGAGUUUGAGAAUCUAGUAGAAAGUGAUGAAGUAAGUAUUUCCAUAAUAGUACAAAACUUGUAUUUGUUUUUCUCAUUAAUCGUCUCAUUAGUUCUAACAAUUAUGUUUACAAUUUUUAUUAUUUUUGUUUUAGAAUUUGUAUUUUCUGGUU
Molecule: small RNA, 547 nt
Filed under: Pongo abelii (Sumatran orangutan)
Lineage: Eukaryota; Metazoa; Chordata; Mammalia; Primates; Hominidae
Description: retained intron
Source: RNAcentral